Molecule: ribosomal RNA, 623 nt
Filed under: uncultured Pseudomonadaceae bacterium
Lineage: Bacteria; Pseudomonadati; Pseudomonadota; Gammaproteobacteria; Pseudomonadales; Pseudomonadaceae
Description: SSU rRNA
Rfam family: Bacterial small subunit ribosomal RNA
Source: RNAcentral
GGGCGCUAAUACCGCAUACGUCCUGAGGGAGAAAGUGGGGGAUCUUCGGACCUCACGCUAUCAGAUGAGCCUAGGUCGGAUUAGCUAGUUGGUGGGGUAAAGGCCUACCAAGGCGACGAUCCGUAACUGGUCUGAGAGGAUGAUCAGUCACACUGGAACUGAGACACGGUCCAGACUCCUACGGGAGGCAGCAGUGGGGAAUAUUGGACAAUGGGCGAAAGCCUGAUCCAGCCAUGCCGCGUGUGUGAAGAAGGUCUUCGGAUUGUAAAGCACUUUAAGUUGGGAGGAAGGGCAGUAAGUUAAUACCUUGCUGUUUUGACGUUACCAACAGAAUAAGCACCGGCUAACUUCGUGCCAGCAGCCGCGGUAAUACGAAGGGUGCAAGCGUUAAUCGGAAUUACUGGGCGUAAAGCGCGCGUAGGUGGUUCAGCAAGUUGGAUGUGAAAUCCCCGGGCUCAACCUGGGAACUGCAUCCAAAACUACUGAGCUAGAGUACGGUAGAGGGUGGUGGAAUUUCCUGUGUAGCGGUGAAAUGCGUAGAUAUAGGAAGGAACACCAGUGGCGAAGGCGACCACCUGGACUGAUACUGACACUGAGGUGCGAAAGCGUGGGGAGCAAACAGG